AAAAAAAAAAAAAAAAAAGCUUUCCAAGGACUAUUGCAAUUAUUAAUUCCUAAAUCAUAGUUUCAAACUAAGUUCAAGGUGCAGAUGAAGUAUAAACCAUAUACUCAUUACUAGUAUCCUUAUCAUCAUAACAAGAAAGAGUUCAGAGAACAAGAUUUUUGUAUGAUAUACUUGAUCUGAACUAGAGUUGACCUAAAAUGUUAGAUGUAUGGAGCAUAUCAAAGUCCAAUCAUAUAUGAUUUCUGACUAAAUAGUUCCAUAGUAGCAAAAGAGAACAGAGAAAUUAAGCAUGCUUCCGGCCCAAACAAUUAACAGAUUUCUAAGAUAAUUCUGAGACAAACAAAUGCUCAACUAAGCUAUUCAUUGAAUCAUUGCAUAUCCUAUCAUAUCAUGUCAUCCAUAUCAGUAAGUGCUGAAGGCUGCAGCUAUCUUUAGAGUGCAAAAGUUCUGAACAUUCCUUUACACAAGCAGCUAUCAGCAGUCGAAGGUUAAAGUGAAAGUAAACACAAUAUAUGAAAAAUUGUCAAUUUCAAUGACAAUAAAUAGUUAGAAAACUUACAUAUUGACUAAUCAGCACGAU
RNAcentral lists this unclassified non-coding RNA (580 nucleotides) under Hevea brasiliensis (rubber tree). The record is from RNAcentral. Lineage: Eukaryota; Viridiplantae; Streptophyta; Magnoliopsida; Malpighiales; Euphorbiaceae.